Mustela lutreola (European mink) is the source of this 1009-nucleotide long non-coding RNA. RefSeq lists it as uncharacterized. The record is from RefSeq and is a predicted model, not a curated record. NCBI's taxonomy places the organism in Eukaryota, Metazoa, Chordata, Mammalia, Carnivora, Mustelidae. The transcript has 6 exons.
CUGCUGAAACUGGGUGCAAGGAGAGAGUAAAUGAAGCCAUUUCCUCCCGGAGGAGAUUAGUGAGGAAUUGAAAGGGGUUAUUCAGAAGGGCCCUCCUUCCAGUUUCCAUUAUUAAUCGUCAUAAACAAAGGAGUAAUAAUGGGUGUAGCAAAAGCAUUGCAAUUUUAGGGCCAGUUUAUUUGCGUACUGCGUUGAAAAAUCGGGAUAGCCCUUUAACGUCCAGUUCCCAUGUGACUUCACCAGAAUGAUGGUAUAUAUGGCAGGGAUGAGACCAGCGUUUCCAUCUUCCAGGAAUUGGUCUCAGCCUUUUAGGCUGGCAGGUACGAGAUCUCCUAAGUGGCUGAAUGGGCUGGCAGGCCUAGACACCCAGGUCCUCCAGUGUAAUGUGAGCUACUAAAGAUUACGACAGUGAAUUGGUUUGUCUUGUUCCUGAUUUGAAUGAGAUCACUUCUAAAAUUUUACCAAACCCAUGACACCCUCUGCGGAUGACCAGCAUUCCUCGUACCGCAAGAUUCUGUGCUUCCUUGCUGAGGCGUCUCACCCUGCUGGACUAUGAACUCCUUGGAGACAGGACUCCUCCCCUCUCUGUAUCCCCACUGCCUAGCGUGGUAUCUGGUGCAAAGAAGGAACACAGGAGAUGUGUGAUGAACGAACCAAGAACAGAGAGGGUGUUGUGGCGCCGUCGUGGAGAUGCUGGGACGGCCGAGGCAGAAGUGGGCGGAUGCAAACAGCCAUGUCUUUGAAGUCUCCCGUGAGGUCUCAAGUGUUCAUUGUGUUGACCACCCAGCUUGGAAUAAGGAUGUUGACAAAAAUAAACCAUGUGAUUCUCCUGCCACAUCACUUUCUCUCCCUAGUUAAGGUAACAGUCAUCCUUAAUACUGUGUUCAUGCUAGUUUUUUUAUUUAAAUACUACAGUUUAACAUUUGACAAGGAAUAGCACAAAUCACAUUUUAUGACACUCUAAAAAUAGUUCUACAUCUUCCAUGAGGAACUUGCAGUCAAAUAAGAA